UUUUUUCUUUUUAGGCAGCAUCCAUGACAUAUGGAAGUUCCCGGGCCAGGGAUCAAAUCCAAGCAGAGAUGUGCCCUAUGCCAUAGUAACUCAGGAUCCUUAAUCCACUGCCCCACUGCACCAGGAUCAAACAGGGUGCCUCCACAAAGACAAGACAGAUCAUUAGCUCACUGUGCCACCGCUGAACUCCCAAACAGAUUUCUUAACCUCUCUGUUUCUGUUGUAGCAUGUGUAAAAUGAAGAUGAUAAUAGUGCACAUACCUCAUAGAUUUAGUUGGAGAGCAAAUGAGUUAAUAUACUUAAAGCUUAGACUAGCUUUGGCACAUAAUAAAAUCAGAAGAAAUAUUAGCUAACAUUAAUAUUAGUAAUAGAGUUCAAACAAGAACAAAUGACCAAAUAAACUUGAGUAAUGUAAAUUAUUAUCCUUAUCAGUUUUUAAUCUUAAGUGCUAACCGCUGUGCUAGUAGCAAUAGGGCCAAAACUGUUAUUACAUUAGGUUAUUAAAUUUAGGCUCUAGCCUAUUUACAAAAUAGACUUCAACUAGAUCACUUAUGAAUAAAUUAUAAGUAUUUUACUUCCUCAAUUGCAGUUGCAUUUGCAAACUCAUGAAGCAAUCCUGAUGUAUUAAUUAAGUUACAUGAUACUUGGAAAUUCUGAGUUCUCAGUUUCCCAGUUCUCAUUUUAGUUAUGACUAGAGAAUACAGAAUUAAAGAAUUAUUACAGGAGAAUAUUAAUCAAGGAAAUAAUUUCUCACACAAAAGAAAUAUACUUAUUAAAAUUCAUAUCCUAAACUUUUCUAGUAUUGUUAAACUGAGUACUCAUAUACAAAAUCAUCGAAUAAUUUAAUCUUUUCAAAAUUAUUGUGUAAUCAAACUAAACCACAGUAUCCUUUGCAAUUUUUUUCUCUUUUAAAUAUGAUAUAAGAGCCCCCACUGUGGCACAAUGGGUUCAUGGUGUCUUGGGAGCACUGGGACUGGGGUUCGAUCCCCAGCCCGGCACAGUGGCUUAAGGAUCCAGUGUUGCUGCAGCUGCAGCUUAGGUUGAGACUGUGGCCCAGAUCUGAUCCCUGGUCCGGGACCUCCUCAUGCCACAUGGUGGCCAAAAACGGAAAAAAAAAAAAAAAAGCUAUAAACAAUUUGGCAUUAAGCUCAUAAAUUGCCAGUAUUUGUUGUAAUUUUAAUUUUUAGAACUAUCUUGCACUUAGGCAAAAAUUAUCUCCAAACUAAAACCAUUCUGAAAAGUGUUACAUAAAAACUGAAUAACUAAACAGAUUUAUUUUGGUACAUUAUCUACAACCUUUAAUAGGAUAAUGAGAUGAUCUGUCAACAAACAGAGCAGAUAAGUUAAAUAUUAUAAAUUGAAUUGUGUCUCCCAAAAAGGUAUGGUGAAGACCUAAUCCCUCAGGCCUAUGAAUGCGGCCUUUUUGCAAGAUCCUUGCAGAUGUUAUCAAGUUAAGACGAGGUCAUUUACAGUGGAUCCUAAUCAAAUUUGAUUGAUGUCCUUAUAAAAUAGGGACAUUUAAACAUAAACACAUGGAGGAGGACACCAUGUGAAGACAGCCAUGUGCAGAGAGAGACUGUAGUGAUGCUGCCACAAACCAUCCAAUGCCUGAAGCUACCAGAACUUGGAAAAGGAAAAGAAGAAAUCAUCCCCAGAGGCUUAAAAGAAGCAUGGCCUUGUGGACACCUGUUUCAUACUUCUUACCUCCAGAACUGAGAGAGAAUAAAUUUCUUUUGUUUAAUCCACCCAGUGUGUGUUACUUUGUUACCACAGCCCAAGGAAAUAAAUACACCACGACUGUUUUGCUGUGUAUUUUUUAGCAUUAGAUGGAAUAAAAAUAACGAUUUUCAUACAUGCUAACUUAACAAGAUUAACGCAUGUGAAUGGGUUCCAGAUGAAAGUAAAAAAUAAAAUUCUUUGAGAGUCUUUUCACCAAAUUAAAACUGCGAAGACAAGCAAGAAAAGUCAAUAUGGAAGGAAGGACCAGUUGGUUGGAAAGAUACCUGAAGUACUGGAGAUACAAAUUUUUAGGAAGAGUAUCAACUCCUAGGGGAAAAAAUGACAUCAAAAUAAUGUAUUUCCUUUCCCAUCUUUCCUAUGUUUACCCUUAUAUCUGUAUUUAUUUUUAGGCCUUCACAUACAUGUUAAAACUCUAUGAUAUCAUAACAAAAUUGGCAUAGUGUAUAGCAGGCACUCCAGGACAAUUCUUGAAUUACAUCAUAUUAUUCUGGUUACAAAGUGAUAUUAAGUUCCCCCAAUUAUAAUUCUCACUAUAGAAACAAAACUGGGAUGUCAGAUUUAGUUAACAACAAUCAAUUCUUUGUUUUAGUUUUCGCUUCCUUAAAUGUUGUGCAGGAAAAAGCUAUUUUAUUAAGAGGAUAUAAAUACCAACAAUUCAGAGCGUUCUUCAAGGCAGAAAAACAAAAAAAUCUCUAAAACACACCCUGGUAUUUCUUUGUCAAAAAAUUACCUUCAAAACAGAUAUCCAGCAAUAAUUUGUUCUACCUCUUCUAUCUAUAAGCAAAGUCUUACGGGGUUUUUCUGUUUUUCUGUUUUCAAAAUUUUUUCUAUUUAAAAAUUUUUUUUUUUGGCUGUACUCAUGGCAUAUUCCCAGGCCAGGGACUGAACCAAUGUCACAGCAAUGACCUGAGCCACUGCAGUGACAAUGUCAGAUUCUUAACCAGUUGUGCCACAAGGAAACUCCACUGUUUUAAUUUUUAUUUAAAUAUAGUUGAUUUACAAUAUUGUGUUAGUUUCAGGUAUGCAGCAGAGCAAUUCAAUUACAUGUGUAUAUAUAUAUAAAUAUAUAGUAUUUUACAUUCUCUUCCAUUACAGCUCAUUAGAAGAUAUCGAGUAUAGUUUUCUGUGUUUUCUUUUUUUCUUUCUUUCUUUCUCUCUCUCUCUUUUUUUUUUUUUUUCUUUUUUUUUUGGUCUUUUUAGGACCGCACCCCCGGCACAUGGAGGUUCUCAGGCUAGGGGUCGAGUCAGAGCUGUAGCUGCCGGCCUACACCACAGCCAUGGCAAUGCUGGAUCCUUAACACACUGAGUGAGGCCAGGCAUGCUAGUCAGGUUCAUUAACCUCUGAGCCAUGACAGGAACUCCCCCUGUGUCUUCUUAAUUGAACUAUUUUUUGUAAAAUCGCUUUCAAAUUCUCAUAAGCUUUUGCAUAUUAAUGGGAUAGAAAUGUGCAGCACUAAAACCACUCCCACUGAUUCAGAAUUUUUCUAAAGUCCUAUUUCUAACCUGUUCUCAACGGAGCAAAGGAGCCUGGUGAUGACAGAGUCC
Molecule: long non-coding RNA, 3285 nt
Filed under: Sus scrofa (pig)
Lineage: Eukaryota; Metazoa; Chordata; Mammalia; Artiodactyla; Suidae
Description: lncRNA (ENSSSCG00030009909.1)
Source: RNAcentral